GCCGGAGUGGUGGAAUUGGUAGACACAGGAGACUUAAAAUCUCCCGGGCCGUAAGGCCUGUGCCCGUUCGAUUCGGGUCUCCGGCACGA
RNAcentral lists this transfer RNA (89 nucleotides) under Spirochaetaceae bacterium. RNAcentral describes it as "tRNA-Leu". The record is from RNAcentral. Lineage: Bacteria; Pseudomonadati; Spirochaetota; Spirochaetia; Spirochaetales; Spirochaetaceae.